Molecule: ribosomal RNA, 253 nt
Filed under: uncultured bacterium
Lineage: Bacteria
Description: partial 16S ribosomal RNA
Rfam family: Bacterial small subunit ribosomal RNA
Source: RNAcentral
UACAGAGGUCUCAAGCGUUGUUCGGAUUCAUUGGGCGUAAAGGGUGUGUAGGUGGCGCCGUAAGUCGGGUGUGAAAUUUCGGAGCUUAACUCCGAAACUGCAUUCGAGACUGCGUAGCUAGGGUGCGGAAGAGGGAAGCGGAAUUUCCGGUGUAGCGGUGAAAUGCGUAGAUAUCGGAAGGAACACCAGUGGCGAAAGCGGCUUCCUGGUCCAGCACCGACGCUCAUGCACGAAAGCGUGGGGAGCAAACAGG